Parelaphostrongylus tenuis is the source of this 73-nucleotide non-coding RNA. Lineage: Eukaryota; Metazoa; Nematoda; Chromadorea; Rhabditida; Metastrongylidae. The record is from the annotation of a GenBank genome assembly.
GCGUCGGUAGUGUAAAGGUUUAGCACAUGCUCCCGAAAAGAGUAAGAUCUGGGUUCGAAUCCCAGCUGACGCA